Molecule: ribosomal RNA, 227 nt
Filed under: uncultured bacterium
Lineage: Bacteria
Description: partial 16S ribosomal RNA
Rfam family: Bacterial small subunit ribosomal RNA
Source: RNAcentral
GAUCCUGGCACAGAUUGAACGCUGGCGGCAUGCUUUACACAUGCAAGUCGAACGGCAGCACAGGGAGCUUGCUCCCGGGUGGCGAGUGGCGCACGGGUGAGUAAUACAUCAGAACGUGUCCUGUUGUGGGGGAUAACUGCUCGAAAGGGUGGCUAAUACCGCAUGAGACCUGAGGGUGAAAGCGGGGGAUCGCAAGACCUCGCGCAAUUGGAGCGGCCGAUGCCCGA